GACGGGAGCUUGCUCCUUGAUUCAGCGGCGGACGGGUGAGUAAUGCCUAGGAAUCUGCCUGGUAGUGGGGGACAACGUUUCGAAAGGAACGCUAAUACCGCAUACGUCCUACGGGAGAAAGCAGGGGACCUUCGGGCCUUGCGCUAUCAGAUGAGCCUAGGUCGGAUUAGCUAGUUGGUGAGGUAAUGGCUCACCAAGGCGACGAUCCGUAACUGGUCUGAGAGGAUGAUCAGUCACACUGGAACUGAGACACGGUCCAGACUCCUACGGGAGGCAGCAGUGGGGAAUAUUGGACAAUGGGCGAAAGCCUGAUCCAGCCAUGCCGCGUGUGUGAAGAAGGUCUUCGGAUUGUAAAGCACUUUAAGUUGGGAGGAAGGGCAUUAACCUAAUACGUUAGUGUUUUGACGUUACCGACAGAAUAAGCACCGGCUAACUCUGUGCCAGCAGCCGCGGUAAUACAGAGGGUGCAAGCGUUAAUCGGAAUUACUGGGCGUAAAGCGCGCGUAGGUGGUUUGUUAAGUUGGAUGUGAAAG
Molecule: ribosomal RNA, 533 nt
Filed under: Pseudomonas sp. T12(2015)
Lineage: Bacteria; Pseudomonadati; Pseudomonadota; Gammaproteobacteria; Pseudomonadales; Pseudomonadaceae
Description: bacterial SSU rRNA
Rfam family: Bacterial small subunit ribosomal RNA
Source: RNAcentral